ACGCUGGCGGCACGCCUAACACAUGCAAGUCGAACGAAGUAGCAAUACUUAGUGGCAGACGGGUGAGUAACAUGUGGGUAUCUACCCUUUGGCCUGGAAUAACACGAGGAAACUUGUGCUAAUACCAGAUAAGUCUUUACGGAGAAAGCUUUAUGCACCAUUGGAUGAGCCUGCACUUGAUUAGUUUGUUGGUGGGGUAAUGGCCUACCAAGACUGUGAUCAAUAGCUGAUUUGAGAGGAUGAUCAGCCACAUUGGGACUGAGACACGGCCCAAACUCCUACGGGAGGCAGCAGUGGGGAAUCUUGCACAAUGGAGGAAACUCUGAUGCAGCGAUGCCGCGUGAGUGAAGAAGGCCCUUGGGUUGUAAAGCUCUUUCGUCGGGGAAGAAAAUGACUGUACCCGAAUAAGAAGGUCCGGCUAACUUCGUGCCAGCAGCCGCGGUAAUACGAAGGGACCUAGCGUAGUUCGGAAUUACUGGGCUUAAAGAGUUCGUAGGUGGUUGAAAAAGUUAGUGGUGAAAUCCCAGAGCUUAACUCUGGAACUGCCAUUAAAACUUUUCAGCUAGAGUAUGAUAGAGGGAAGCAGAAUUUCUAGUGUAGAGGUGAAAUUCGUAGAUAUUAGAAAGAAUACCAAUUGCGAAGGCAGCUUUCUGGAUCAUUACUGACACUGAGGAACGAAAGCAUGGGUAGCGAAGAGGAUUAGAUACCCUCGUAGUCCAUGCCGUAAACGAUGUGUGUUAGACGUUGGAAAUUUAUUUUCAGUGUCGCAGCGAAAGCGAUAAACACACCGCCUGGGGAGUACG
Molecule: ribosomal RNA, 803 nt
Filed under: uncultured Pelagibacteraceae bacterium
Lineage: Bacteria; Pseudomonadati; Pseudomonadota; Alphaproteobacteria; Candidatus Pelagibacterales; Candidatus Pelagibacteraceae
Description: bacterial SSU rRNA
Rfam family: Bacterial small subunit ribosomal RNA
Source: RNAcentral